This 75-nucleotide transfer RNA is filed under the name Listeria monocytogenes. Its description in RNAcentral is "tRNA-Pro". It matches the Rfam family "tRNA". From Rfam's summary of the family: Transfer RNA (tRNA) molecules are approximately 80 nucleotides in length. Their secondary structure includes four short double-helical elements and three loops (D, anti-codon, and T loops). RNAcentral also lists the same sequence under 5 other names. Lineage: Bacteria; Bacillati; Bacillota; Bacilli; Caryophanales; Listeriaceae. The record is from RNAcentral.
ACGGGAAGUAGCUCAGCUUGGUAGAGCACUUGGUUUGGGACCAAGGGGUCGCAGGUUCGAAUCCUGUCUUCCCGA